CACAGCAGACACCAGGACACUGAACUCUUCAAAGGCCUAGUUCAUAGCUAAACUGUGUCUUCUGAAAUCUUGAAUCCUCUUCUGCAUCACCUCACAGCUUUUGCACAAGGACUGCAAAAGGUGUCUGCUGACCGAGCCAAAAGGCUGGUGGGCUGAAACACUUUUGGCUGCAGAGAAGGGAUUAAACUUGGACUCCAUUAAGUGACAGUAGCUGGAAGAAAUUUUUAAGCUGAUUUUUCAUUCCAUCCAAACCAUCACAUAUUCCUUGAAAAGAAGCUUUGUAUCCUAAAUAAAGAUAUUGAUAUUUUAGUUGAGGAUUUGGAGCAGAACCUCAGUAUGUGUGAAGACUAAGGGGAAGAAGCACAUAUCAACUGCCAAAACUUCUUUCCACGUAUCUUUAGCAGGGAAUUCAGUGAAAGGAGUAAAUCUUGGCUUUCUGACUCCUAACCUGUUUUCAUCCAGACAUCCAUACCCUGCUGCUGCAGAACUGAUUCAAACAAUUUCAGAGGAUGUAACUAAACCACAUGUGGUUUACCAUUGAUCUUUACCAUAAAUCAGAAGAAUGAUGAAAAUUGUGGAAAAAGGUCAGUGAACUUUAUUCCACUUCUCCUUCACUUAUAUCUUCUGUUAUUUAAAAU
RNAcentral lists this long non-coding RNA (638 nucleotides) under Zonotrichia albicollis (white-throated sparrow). Its description in RNAcentral is "lncRNA (ENSZALG00000006644.1)". Lineage: Eukaryota; Metazoa; Chordata; Aves; Passeriformes; Passerellidae. The record is from RNAcentral.